AACGCGAAGAACCUUACCUGGUCUUGACAUCCACGGAAGUUUUCAGAGAUGAGAAUGUGCCUUCGGGAACCGUGAGACAGGUGCUGCAUGGCUGUCGUCAGCUCGUGUUGUGAAAUGUUGGGUUAAGUCCCGCAACGAGCGUAACCCUUAUCCUUUGUUGCCAGCGGUCCGGCCGGGAACUCAAAGGAGACUGCCAGUGAUAAACUGGAGGAAGGUGGGGAUGACGUCAAGUCAUCAUGGCCCUUACGACCAGGGCUACACACGUGCUACAAUGGCGCAUACAAAGAGAAGCGACCUCGCGAGAGCAAGCGGACCUCAUAAAGUGCGUCGUAGUCCGGAUUGGAGUCUGCAACUCGACUCCAUGAAGUCGGAAUCGCUAGUAAUCGUGGAUCAGAACGCCACGGUGAAUACGUUCCCGGGUCUUGUACACACGC
Molecule: ribosomal RNA, 434 nt
Filed under: uncultured Escherichia sp.
Lineage: Bacteria; Pseudomonadati; Pseudomonadota; Gammaproteobacteria; Enterobacterales; Enterobacteriaceae
Description: bacterial SSU rRNA
Rfam family: Bacterial small subunit ribosomal RNA
Source: RNAcentral